RNAcentral lists this non-coding RNA (25 nucleotides) under Mus musculus (house mouse). Lineage: Eukaryota; Metazoa; Chordata; Mammalia; Rodentia; Muridae. The record is from RNAcentral.
UAACUGCCCUGGACAUGGAUAUCUC